AAUAAAGUGCCUGAAGAAAAGGGCUAUCUUGAUAGGAUAGAUCAUACAAGCAAUUGUCUUUAUUA
This 65-nucleotide transfer RNA is filed under the name Leptoglossus membranaceus. Its description in RNAcentral is "tRNA-Ile". The record is from RNAcentral. Lineage: Eukaryota; Metazoa; Arthropoda; Insecta; Hemiptera; Coreidae.